CGUACACUCCUGCGGGAGGCAGCAGUGGGGAAUUUUGGACAAUGGGCGAAAGCCUGAUCCAGCCAUGCCGCGUGCAGGAUGAAGGCCUUCGGGUUGUAAACUGCUUUUGUACGGAACGAAACGGCCUUUUCUAAUAAAGAGGGCUAAUGACGGUACCGUAAGAAUAAGCACCGGCUAACUACGUGCCAGCAGCCGCGGUAAUACGUAGGGUGCAAGCGUUAAUCGGAAUUACUGGGCGUAAAGCGUGCGCAGGCGGUUAUGUAAGACAGUUGUGAAAUCCCCGGGCUCAACCUGGGAACUGCAUCUGUGACUGCAUAGCUAGAGUACGGUAGAGGGGGAUGGAAUUCCGCGUGUAGCAGUGAAAUGCGUAGAUAUGCGGAGGAACACCGAUGGCGAAGGCAAUCCCCUGGACCUGUACUGACGCUCAUGCACGAAAGCGUGGGGAGCAAACAGGAUUAGAUACCCCUGUAGUCCCAU
RNAcentral lists this ribosomal RNA (477 nucleotides) under uncultured organism. RNAcentral's name for it is "partial 16S ribosomal RNA". It matches the Rfam family "Bacterial small subunit ribosomal RNA", at positions 330 to 798 of the family's 1533-position model. The record is from RNAcentral.